AUCGCUGGCGGCGUGCUAACACAUGCAAGUCGAACGCGAAAGUCCCGCAAGGGGCAGUAGAGUGGCAACGGGUGAGUACACGUGGGUGACCUGCCUUCGAGCGGGGGAUAACGUCCCGAAAGGGACGCUAAUACCGCAUAACAUCCUGCCUUUGAAGAGGCGGAGAUCAAAGCCGGGGAUCGCAAGACCUGGCACUCGGAGAGGGGCUCGCGUCUGAUUAGCUAGUUGGUGGGGUAAUGGCCUACCAAGGCAACGAUCAGUAUCCGGCCUGAGAGGGCGGACGGACACACUGGGACUGAGACACGGCCCAGACUCCUACGGGAGGCAGCAGUGGGGAAUUGUUCGCAAUGGGCGCAAGCCUGACGACGCAACGCCGCGUGGAGGAUGAAGAUCUUCGGGUCGUAAACUCCUGUCGAAUGGGACGAAUGGAUCGCGUGGGAACAUCACGUGGUCGUGACGGUACCGUUAAAGGAAACCCCGGCUAACUCCGUGCCAGCAGCCGCGGUAAUACGGG
Molecule: ribosomal RNA, 514 nt
Filed under: uncultured Acidobacteriota bacterium
Lineage: Bacteria; Pseudomonadati; Acidobacteriota
Description: bacterial SSU rRNA
Rfam family: Bacterial small subunit ribosomal RNA
Source: RNAcentral